UACGUAGGGUGCGAGCGUUAAUCGGAAUUACUGGGCGUAAAGCGUGCGCAGGCGGUUCGUUAAGUUCGUUGUGAAAGCCCCGGGCUCAACCUGGGAACUGCAAUGGAAACUGGCGGGCUUGAGUGUGGCAGAGGGGGGUGGAAUUCCGCGUGUAGCAGUGAAAUGCGUAGAGGUGCGGAGGAACACCGAUGGCGAAGGCAGCCCCCUGGGCCAACACUGACGCUCAGGCACGAAAGCGUGGGGAGCAAACAGG
This 253-nucleotide ribosomal RNA is filed under the name uncultured bacterium. RNAcentral describes it as "partial 16S ribosomal RNA". It matches the Rfam family "Bacterial small subunit ribosomal RNA", at positions 524 to 776 of the family's 1533-position model. The record is from RNAcentral.